AGUUUGAUCAUGGCUCAGAUUGAACGCUGGCGGCAUUGCCUUACAACAUGCAAGUCGAACGGCAGCACGGGAGGCUUGUCUCCUGGUGGCGAGUGGCGAACGGGUGAGUAAUACAUCGGAACGUACCCUGAAGUGGGGGAUAACGUAGCGAAAGUUACGCUAAUACCGCAUAUUCUGUGAGCAGGAAAGAGGGGGAUCGCAAGACCUCUUGCUUUAGGAGCGGCCGAUGUCGGAUUAGCUAGUUGGUGAGGUAAAGGCUCACCAAGGCGACGAUCCGUAGCGGGUCUGAGAGGAUGAUCCGCCACACUGGGACUGAGACACGGCCCAGACUCCUACGGGAGGCAGCAGUGGGGAAUUUUGGACAAUGGGCGCAAGCCUGAUCCAGCCAUGCCGCGUGAGUGAAGAAGGCCUUCGGGUUGUAAAGCUCUUUCGGUGGGGAAGAAAUUGCUUCGGUUAAUACCUGGAGUAGAUGACGGUACCCGCAUAAGAAGCACCGGCUAACUACGUG
Molecule: ribosomal RNA, 508 nt
Filed under: uncultured bacterium
Lineage: Bacteria
Description: bacterial SSU rRNA
Rfam family: Bacterial small subunit ribosomal RNA
Source: RNAcentral